UAACGGGAUAGAGUAAAAUGGUAAACUCAUUAGGCUCAUGAUCUAAAGUUGUAGGUUCAAUUCCUACUCCCGUAAU
RNAcentral lists this transfer RNA (76 nucleotides) under Synarthrophyton chejuense. Its description in RNAcentral is "tRNA-Met". It matches the Rfam family "tRNA". Rfam says of the family: Transfer RNA (tRNA) molecules are approximately 80 nucleotides in length. Their secondary structure includes four short double-helical elements and three loops (D, anti-codon, and T loops). Further hydrogen bonds mediate the characteristic L-shaped molecular structure. tRNAs have two regions of fundamental functional importance: the anti-codon, which is responsible for specific mRNA codon recognition, and the 3' end, to which the tRNAs corresponding amino acid is attached (by aminoacyl-tRNA synthetases). tRNAs cope with the degeneracy of the genetic code in two manners: having more than one tRNA (with a specific anti-codon) for a particular amino acid; and 'wobble' base-pairing, i.e. permitting non-standard base-pairing at the 3rd anti-codon position. The record is from RNAcentral. Lineage: Eukaryota; Rhodophyta; Florideophyceae; Hapalidiales; Hapalidiaceae.